Molecule: ribosomal RNA, 712 nt
Filed under: uncultured Craterellus
Lineage: Eukaryota; Fungi; Basidiomycota; Agaricomycetes; Cantharellales; Hydnaceae
Description: eukaryotic LSU rRNA
Rfam family: 5.8S ribosomal RNA (bases 245-443)
Source: RNAcentral
UCUUAUCCAGCAAAAAAAAGGUUCAUGGUAAACCCGACUGUGAGUCUGGGAGAUGGACCCUAUUAUAAUAUCACUCAGUUGUUGUUGGUCAAGUUGAAAAGCAAUCCACUCUUGGGGGGAAGGAUACGAUUUUGAGGGUUUGUAACCCAAAGGCUGUAUUCUAUCUAUCUCUUGAGUCUCAAUGAGUUGUUAGAAACUCGAGACAAUUGUCCAUAUGGAUUUAUCAUAACAUGGGCUCAUUUACAACUUUCAGCAAUGGAUCUCUUGGUUCUCGCAUCGAUGAAGAACGCAGUGAAAUGCGAUAANUGGUGUGAAUUGCAUCCAAGUAACUCUAAUUUACGAAUAACACCAAGUGAAUCAUCGAGUCUUUGAACGCAAUUGCGCCCUCUCGGUCGCUUCCAAUUGGGGGUUGACUCAUAGGGGGUACAUCUGUUCGAGGGUCAUUUUGAACCUCUCAAAGGGUUUUGCUUUAACCCUUUGGAUUUGGGUGUCUUGCCNUGAAAUUCUAUCUUGGCUCACCUUGAAAGCAUUAGCAAGGUUUUCAAUACUUGAAAGUCUUUUUGAAUGAGGGCGUUGUUAAUUUGGUCAAGCCUCCUCCUUAAGAGAGGGGAUCAUCUCAUUCGGCAAACUGGUUUGUGCAGCCAGUGGUGGAUGUGAUAAACAAAAGCGCCUCAAUGACUUUUGAAACUUGCUUCCAAUGAUCCUUAUGGGA